UUGCAUAAUUCAGUGGAAAAUGAAUAGAAAUCUUAUUCUGUAAGACUAAAUAUUUUAAUAACAUGUGAUAAUUAAUCAUUAUUUCUUCAAAUAUGCGCACCAUUGUACUAAUAGCCCUAGCGGGUUCUGUAUAUUUUAUGUAUUUGAAUACAAAUAAUCCGGAGAAGACGAGAAUGAAUGUUUUAUGAGUGAUGAUUUCUAUUCAAAAUAACGAACGUUACAGAUUAAUUAUUUUGCACUCCUGGCAUAAAUUUAGAAAUUAAUGUCACUGCAAACCAGUUUAAUAACAAACAGUGGUCAAAUGUCGAAGCUGGAGUCUUAAACCUGUCUUGUGAUGCUGAGUUUGUCCAGAUCAAGUAAGAGUGUGAUGUUUUGAAGAGUAAUGAAUUUUGAACAACAAUAAUCCGGGAUCACCAGUGAUCCCUGCCGCCCUCAAGGAAUGAAUUUUUUAUAAGCGGUGAUGAAGCUCUGUUUUGUUAAACACAGCAAACACUUAAAGCGAAAACUACCAUUAACUUGUUUAGAAAAUUAAAAUAGUCUGGCGAGGUGGAGCCACGGGUUGUCACAUUCCCAGGAUGGACCUGCUGUGUCUUCAUCCAUUUUUUGUCCAUGGUUUCUUCUCUUAUCUAAAUCUGACUAUUGGGACUUUGGCGGAAAGCUGAAGGUGAUAGCUGAUAGGCUGUCCCAAUCAGUGGCGCCUGCACAAUCCAAUCACGUUUGAGAAAAGGGAAACAACAAAUCAAGUGUUUCUGAGAUUUUUCUUUUUUCCUUUUUUUUAGAAGAAGUAACUUGUACUCACGGUUAUGGAUAGAAAUGUAGUGGAGUAAAGAGUACAAUAUUUGCCUCUCAAAUGUACUUGAGUAAAGUCAUGAGUACUCCACAAAAAUAAUACUCGAGUAAAGUACAGAUCCCUCAAAAUUGUACUUAAGUACUGUACUCAAGUAAAUGUACUCCGUUACUGUCCGGCUCUGAUAAGCAGUAACUUAUACAUGUAAGUUAACAAUGCACAGUAGGCUAUACACAAUACUGCAGCAGCAGCAGUAUAAGGCAAGUUACUGCUUAUAUAAUAGAUAAUGUUAGUAUAAAAUACAGCAUGGCAUGUGGUUCUUGAAUAUAUUUGUAAUAUUACUUUUCUCCCCCAGUAACAUCUUUGAAGGUUUCAUGAAAUUCAGUCUGGCUCGAUCCGCUUGGUAGCAAUGGUCCAGGUGAUGCUGUAAGGAAGGUUUUGCAAGUUGCCACAUACAAUGGAUCGAAAGGGAAAGAAAUACCUUUGGCACUGUGAUUAUUUUGUAGGCCGUCUCAAUCUGAUGUUCCAGCUGUGAUGCCUUCAUUGCAGACACCUUAAAGUAUGUUCCACAUCGAGGAACAAGGGUAAGUCAUAUUCUGACUACACAAAGCUUAAUGCAAAUCGGUGAAGUGUCCCUUUAAUGGCGCACUCCGAUUAUUAGCAUCAGUUUUAAGAAGGUUGUGGUCAUGACAGUGUUGCCUUCUAAAUCAGCUUCUUUUUUGUCCACAAAUCAAGUGACUUUUAAUAAAUGAGUAAAAAUGAACAAAUAAAAGAGUAAACUAUUGCCCCGCCUAAGACUAUCUCUUUAACCAAGCAUUUACCUAAUUCAUCUCCUAUACAUACUUAUGCCGCAUCUAUUAUACUGUAUGAACUAGGGGUGUCACGAUUUCGAUUUUAAAUCGAAAUCGAUCGAAAUUAUGUCACAGCUUCGAACUUCGAAUUAAAAAAUGGGAUCGUCGAUGCUGCCACGCCCCCAUUUCACGUCCGGUCGGCUUGCCAAGCGAGGAAAAAAACUCUCAGAGAUGCCUUUAAAAACAUCUGUCCAGCGGAACGCGAUCAUAUUUUAAACACGAGGGAUGCUACAACUUCUUGAAAUGCAUAUCAUAAACAGGAUUAACAGUGAUCUGACUUUGGACAUAGUGCAGCUCUCUGCACGUGCGCGAUAGUGAGGGAGGCGCAAAGAUGCAGCGGGUUAUAUUUUAAACAAAAGGAUAGUUUGCCUCAGCUUGCAUGAAACGCAUAAAACUGAACAAAUACGUAAGGAUUACUACUUUAGUUUAUGUUCAGACUUCGGACAGAUGCGACCACGUGCACGUGAGACAGAGAGAAGCGCAGCUGCUUAUUAUGCUGGAUUUAUUUCAGAUGCUAUGAGUCCAAGACACGCGCAUUAAGUCCAUGUUAGAGAUGCGCGGAUGGACUAUUAUUUCAUAGCCUGCACUGGUGUCAUCCUGAUUUACCACGUUGUAAAACUUAUUCCAGGCAACCCUUUCUGACAUUAUAUUUCCUUUGUUUUUAAUUCUCAUUUUUUGAGUUUGCCACGUAACUCCUUCGCCAGCGUUGAUAAGAGCUGUGUCAAAAUGCGCCCUCAUUUCUCCGCGCUGUUAAUGAUAGAACGAAUGGAUCCUUAACAGCCGAGGAUAUCCCAAACAAUUAAAAGCUUUAUUAAAUAAAACUGUGUAUUUAUUAGAAAACUUUUUCUUGUCACUGUUUUAGUAUUAUAAGUUAUGUUUUGUGUAAAUAUUAUUCUGUUUAUGUUGCGUAUAUUUCUAGGUUGAUUAUUUGAUAUGCUGUUAAAUAGAUUAAUCUACAUCAAUGUGUCAAAUAAAUUAAUAUUUUUCUGAUUACAUAUUAAAAUAAAUAAGUCAGAAAUGUCUCCGCUGUUUUCUGCUGACAGGCGCGGUGGGCGCUACUGGGGGCGUGUGCAGCAGGUGACGCAAAUUUUGGGUCCUCAGAAGGCUAGGCCGUCUCAUUUCAGUUCUCUUCUUGAACUUCUGAGGCUGCCACUAUGAAAGACAGAGAUGUCGCAUGCUUAGAAGGACAGAGCUAAUAACAAGCAGUCGAUCCGGCACCCGCCCGAAGUUAAUUAAAAUAUAAUUUUUCGUCACGUCAUCCGCCCGAUCCAUGUAACUGCCAACCGCGCAUAGUCCAUGUGCGUGCAAGAAGGAAUCCUCUCUCUACAAGCUCUCGCGUUAAGUGAAGCCCACAAACCCCCAUGCGAGUUUUGCAAUGUGCAUGUUAAUGUUAAAGUAUUAUAAUAAUAAUAAUAAUAAAUAAUGGCAUAUCAUUUUUGUCUAAAUUAUAUGCCAUAUAAAAAAUAUGUAAAAAUCGAGAAUCGGAUCGAAUCGUGACCUUAGAAUCGAAAAUGUAAUCGAAUCGAGGAUUUGGAGAAUCGUGACACCCCUAGUAUGAACACUACAUUUGAUGGGCCUCUUUACUAAUUGCACCUUGUUUCUGUUUCCCUGUCUCGCCCUCGUUCACCGAGGAAAUCUGAGACGGACAGGUCCAAUUCCAAUUUGGAGGGAUGCUCAUCCCACCAUUCAUCCGCUUGAUGCCCAUCCUCAUGCUGCUAAAUUGAUGACUGCUCACAUAUACUCACCGGCCACUUUAUUAGGUACAGCUUACUAGUACUGGGUUGGACCCCCUUUUGCCUUCAGAACUGCCUUAAUCCUUCGUGGCAUAGAUUCAACAAGGUACUGGAAAAAUUCCUCAGAGGUUUUGGUCCAUAUUCACAUGAUACCAUCAUGCAGUUGCUGUAGAUACGUUGGCUACACAUCCAUGAAGCGAAUCUCCAGUUCCACCACAUCCCAAAGGUGCUCUAUUGGGUUGAGAUCUGGUGACUGUGGAGGCCAUUUAAGUACAGUUGAACUCACUGUCAUGUUCAAGAAACCAGUCUGAGAUUAUUUAUUCUGCCGGAAGUAGACAUCCGAAGAUGGGUACAUGGUGGUCAUAAAGGGAUGUACAUGGUCAGAAUCAAUGCUCAGGUAGGCUGUGGCAUUGACACGAUGCUCAAUUGGUACUAAUGGGCCCAAAGCGUGCCAAGAGAAUAUCCCCCACACCAUUACACCAGCACCAGCAGCUUGAACAUUGAUACAAGGCAGGAUGGAUCCACAUUCUCAUGUUGUUGACGCCAAAUUCUGAUCCUACCAUCAGAAUGUCGCAGCAGAAAUCGAGACUCAUCAGAGCAGGAAACGUUUUUCCAAUCUUCUUUUGUCCAAUUUUGGUGAGCUUGUGCGAAUUGUAGCCUCGUUUUCCUAUUCUUUACUGUUAGGAGUGACACCCGGUGUUGUCUUCUGCUGCUGUAGCCCAUCAGCCUCAAGGUUCGGCGUGUUGUGGGUUUAGAGAUGCUCUUCUGCAUACCUCACAUUUUUAUUUUGCUUUUACCUCCAUUGUACCGAACUGUGACUCCUGAAUAUAUAUAUAUAUAUAUAUAUAUAUAUAUAUAUAUAUAUAUAUAUAUAUAUAUAUAUAUAUAGCAUAGUAUAUACUAAAUUCUAUACUACAUUACCGUAACAUAUGUUGUAACUGAAAUUAAUAACAGGGUCUCUUUCCUUGGUUACAAACUGCACCACACUACAGCUGUAACAUGUAAGAUGGGAACUGCACCUUCUGGCUAAGCCUGGUUUUCUCACUGGGUUUUUAUUUCUGUCUCCCUGAAGAAGUUUCCCCCUUGACCAAUGUUUCUGUGUGGCUUGCUUACUAGGAAACUGCUGAUAUUAACCUUAUAACGUCUUUAGAAAAUUAUGUUAAUACUGGUAUAUAGUUUGGAGUUGGAGUACAUUACAUACACUGUUCUAUCACUGUUCUAUUACUGUAUGUUCAUAAUUUAGCUUGGAAUGGAGUAAUUCUUAUAUUAUUUAUAUAAGAAAUAACUCCAUGUAACCUCAAAUACUCCAUCCUUAACUGUAUUUAAAACUUUGAGGUUCUUUGCUUUUCUGUGUCGUCUUAUAUUCUAUUACAUGUACAUAUGAUUUGGUAUGAUGAACUAUUGUGAAAAGCACUGUAUAAAUAUAAUUGAAUUGAAUUAAAUUGAUGUUUGUUAAACAUUUUUGCAAGGAUAUUGUACUAAGACAUAAAGUUGGUGAAAUGCUCAAAAAUGUUUUGUAACCUUUAAAUAAUGGAAAGUAAGAAAGCUGGAUAUUGUAUUGUUUUGGAUUAUAAAAAUUAAUGUUUAAAGAAUGUUAUAUUUGUGAAAAUAAAGUUUUGAAAAUA
Non-coding RNA from Misgurnus anguillicaudatus (oriental weatherfish), 4996 nucleotides. Lineage: Eukaryota; Metazoa; Chordata; Actinopteri; Cypriniformes; Cobitidae. The record is from RefSeq and is a predicted model, not a curated record.